GGAAUUACUGGGCGUAAAGCGCAUGCAGGUGGUUUGUUAAGUCAGAUGUGAAAGCCCGGGGCUCAACCUCGGAAUUGCAUUGAAACUGGCAGACUAGAGUACUGUAGAGGGGGUAGAAUUUCAGGUGUAGCGGUGAAAUGCGUAGAGAUCUGAAGGAAUACCGGUGGCGAAGGCGGCCCCCUGGACAGAUACUGACACUCAGAUGCGAAAGCGUGGGGAGCAAACAGGAUUAGAUACCCUGGUAGUCCACGCCGUAAACGAUGUCUACUUGGAGGUUGUGGCCUUGAGCCGUGGCUUUCGGAGCUAACGCGAUAAGUAGACCGCCUGGGGAGUACGGCCGCAAGAUUAAAACUCAAAUGAAUUGACGGGGGCCCGCACAAGCGGUGGAGCAUGUGGUUUAAUUCGAUGCAACGCGAAGAACCUUACCUACUCUUGACAUACUAGAAACUUUUCAGAGAUGAAUUGGUGCCUUCGGGAAUCUAGAUACAGGUGCUGCAUGGCU
Molecule: ribosomal RNA, 502 nt
Filed under: uncultured Vibrio sp.
Lineage: Bacteria; Pseudomonadati; Pseudomonadota; Gammaproteobacteria; Vibrionales; Vibrionaceae
Description: bacterial SSU rRNA
Rfam family: Bacterial small subunit ribosomal RNA
Source: RNAcentral